ACCGCUGAGCCAUCUCUCCAGCCUGCCUGAAGUUUUAUUUUAAAAAGAAGAUGAGGGCUGGAGAGAUGGCUCAGUGGU
This is a non-coding RNA of Mus musculus (house mouse), 78 nucleotides long. The record is from Rfam. NCBI's taxonomy places the organism in Eukaryota, Metazoa, Chordata, Mammalia, Rodentia, Muridae.